GACGAACGCUGGCGGCGUGCUUAACACAUGCAAGUCGAACGGAAAGGCCCUGCUUUUGUGGGGUGCUCGAGUGGCGAACGGGUGAGUAACACGUGAGUAACCUGCCCUUGACUUUGGGAUAACUUCAGGAAACUGGGGCUCAUACCGGCUAGGAGCUCCUGCUGCAUGUUGGGGGUUGGAAAGUUUCGGCGGUUGGGGAUGGACUCGCGGGUUAUCAGCUUGUUGGUGGGGUAGUGGCUUACCAAGGCUUUGACGGGUAGCCGGCCUGAGAGGGUGACCGGCCACAUUGGGACUGAGGUACGGCCCAGACUCCUACGGGAGGCAGCAGUGGGGAAUAUUGCACAAUGGGCGGAAGCCUGAUGCAGCAACGCCGCGUGCGGGAUGACGGCCUGCGGGUUGUAAACCGCUUUCGCCUGUGACGAAGCGGGAGUGACGGUAAUGGGUAAAGAAGCACCGGCUAACUACGUG
This 468-nucleotide ribosomal RNA is filed under the name uncultured bacterium. Its description in RNAcentral is "partial 16S ribosomal RNA". It matches the Rfam family "Bacterial small subunit ribosomal RNA", at positions 28 to 507 of the family's 1533-position model. The record is from RNAcentral.